Molecule: ribosomal RNA, 461 nt
Filed under: uncultured bacterium
Lineage: Bacteria
Description: partial 16S ribosomal RNA
Rfam family: Bacterial small subunit ribosomal RNA
Source: RNAcentral
CCUACGGGCGGCUGCAGUGAGGAAUAUUGGUCAAUGGCCGGAAGGCUGAACCAGCCAAGCCGCGUGAAGGACGAAGGUGCCAAGCAUUGUAAACCUCUUUUGUCAAGGAACAAAAUCGGGCUCGAGAGCCCGACCGAGGGUACUUGAAGAAAAAGCAUCGGCUAACUCCGUGCCAGCAGCCGCGGUAAUACGGAGGAUGCGAGCGUUAUCCGGAUUUAUUGGGUUUAACGGGUGCGUAGGGGGGAUGUUAAGUCAGCGGUAAAAUGCCCCGGCUCAACGGCGUGGAGAGCCAUUGAGACUGGCUUUCUGGAAUGCGGAUGCGGUGGGCGGAAUGCGCGGUGUAGCGGUGAAAUGCAUAGAUAUUGCGCAGAACUCCGAUUGCGAAGGCAGCAUACCGGCGGCGAUCUGACGCUGAAGCACGAAAGCGUGGGUAUCGAACAGGAUUAGAUACCCGAGUAGUC